Paramisgurnus dabryanus is the source of this 292-nucleotide non-coding RNA. The record is from RefSeq and is a predicted model, not a curated record. Lineage: Eukaryota; Metazoa; Chordata; Actinopteri; Cypriniformes; Cobitidae.
GUAACACAGCGCCACCUCCUGGCUGGCUCGCCACUAAUGUGUAACACUUUACACAACCUCUGGACUAAUAAAUUUAGAAAUAUCUCUGGUGAAUAAAACUCUAUUUACAAGGCAUCAAUUAUAACUCCUUUGGACUCUACAGGCCAAUUGCACCUCAGAAACUAUAGGAACGGCUCUCUGGAGAUGGGUAAUCACUGGAAACGCUGUCACAGGAAUAUAGUAAGAAAACACUUUUAAUAAAAUUUCCCCAGUUUAAGAAAAAGGCCUUGGAUAAAAAAAAGAAGAGCAAAAA